CAUCCUCAUCUCCGCAACCUUCAUUCUCUGAACAUGAGAGUUCUUCACUGGCCAGCACUCCGCCCCAUACAACAUUGCAGGUCUAACCACGGCUCUAUUAAAUUUCCCCUUGAGUUUCUGUGGAACUUUCUUGUCACACAGGACUUCUGACGCAAGCCUCCACUUUGACCACCCCGCUCCUAUACGAUGAGUGACGUCCCCGUCAAUCU
RNAcentral lists this long non-coding RNA (209 nucleotides) under Nicotiana benthamiana. Its description in RNAcentral is "long non-coding RNA (NBEN_LNC004657)". The record is from RNAcentral. Lineage: Eukaryota; Viridiplantae; Streptophyta; Magnoliopsida; Solanales; Solanaceae.